This is an RNA transcript of Ricinus communis (castor bean), 1233 nucleotides long. It is a transcript of the gene named aquaporin SIP1-1, with no coding region annotated. The record is from RefSeq and is a predicted model, not a curated record. The transcript has 3 exons. NCBI's taxonomy places the organism in Eukaryota, Viridiplantae, Streptophyta, Magnoliopsida, Malpighiales, Euphorbiaceae.
UUGACGAUUAGGUCUGCGUGAAACUAAAGCAUUCGUGGAGACUGCAAUACCUCAUUUCCAACCAAAACAUUAUAAAUAUCUUGGAAUCUAAAGCAUCUCUAUUAUUUCUUUAAUGCUUUUUCUUUUCUUUCUUUUUUUCUUUUUCUUUUUUUCCCUCUGAUUCUCUUUAGCUCAGGACUACAGAAGUACAAGAACCCACCAAGAGGCUAAAUUUGCAGUCCAGGGGAAGAGAAAGGGAGAUGGGUGUUAUCAAAUCAGCGGUAGGAGAUGCAGUCUUGACAUCCAUAUGGGUAUUUACCUUGCCAUUUCUUGGAGUUUUAACCUCCAUCGUAUCUACAUAUGUUGGUGUUGAGCCCAGAUCAAUACCAGGUCUUUUCAUAACUAUAAAUUUAGCUACCCUUUUGUAUCUAAUGUUCAGUUUUUUGGGUGCUGCCUUGGGUGGUGCUAGUUUUAAUCCCGCCACAACAGUAACACUAUACGCAUCUGGACUUAGACCCGAUGCGUCUCUCAUGUCUAUGGCCGUGAGAUUUCCAGCUCAAGCAGCGGGUGGAGUAAGUGGUGCCAUGGCAAUCUUACAAGCAAUGCCAAGAAAGUACAAGCAUCUGCUGAAGGGUCCUUCUCUAAAGGUGGAUUUGCAUACAGGAGCAAUUGCAGAAGGGGUUUUGAGUUUUAUGCUGUGCCUUGCUUUCCUUUCACUCAUGUCCAAAGGACCCAAGAAUUCCAUGCUGAAACUAUGGUUGUUGGCUUGUGUUAUUACUGGAUUGGCUGCUUGUGGGGCGAAAUAUACAGGGCCUUCACUGAAUCCUGCCAAUGUUUAUGGAUGGGCAUAUGUGCACAAUUGGCAUAAUUCAUGGGAGUUAUUUUAUGUGUACUGGAUUGGCCCUUUGGUUGGGGCAACUUUGUCUGCUUGGGUCUUUCGUUUCUUGUUUAAGCCCUCUAGCAAGCAAAAGCAAGCUUGAUCAAAGAGGAGGUUUGUAAUGCUCUUAUUAUGGACUGCAGAAUCAGAGACUCUUUUCAAGAGCCUAAAUUUGCAAUCCAAGAGAGAUGGGUGUGAUCAAAUCAGCAGUGGGAGAUGCAGUUUUAACAUCCAUGUGCUCUUCUGGGAGGUGCAAGUUUCAAUCCCAACACAACUGUGUCACUAUAUGCAGCUGGCCUCAAAUCAGAUAUGUCUCUCGUGUCUAUGGCUGUGAGAUUUCCAGCUCAAGCAGCUGGUGGGGCAGGUGGUGCCACUGC